GGGUUGUGAGGUUAAGCGACUAAGCGUACACGGUGGAUGCCCUGGCAGUCAGAGGCGAUGAAGGGCGUGCUAAUCUGCGAUAAGCGCCGGUAAGGUGAUAUGAACCGUUAUAACCGGCGAUACCCGAAUGGGGAAACCCAGUGUGAUUCGUCACACUAUCAUUAACUGAAUCCAUAGGUUAAUGAGGCGAACCGGGGGAACUGAAACAUCUAAGUACCCCGAGGAAAAGAAAUCAACCGAGAUUCCCCAGUAGCGGCGAGCGAACGGGGAGGAGCCCAGAGCCUGAAUCAGCAUGUGUGUUAGUGGAAGCGUCUGGAAAGGCGCGCGAUACAGGGUGACAGCCCCGUACACAAAAGCGCAUGUGCUGUGAGCUCGAUGAGUAGGGCGGGACACGUGGUAUCCUGUCUGAAUAUGGGGGGACCAUCCUCCAAGGCUAAAUACUCCUGACUGACCGAUAGUGAACCAGUACCGUGAGGGAAAGGCGAAAAGAACCCCGGCGAGGGGAGUGAAAAAGAACCUGAAACCGUGUACGUACAAGCAGUGGGAGCACAGGUUUACCUGUGUGACUGCGUACCUUUUGUAUAAUGGGUCAGCGACUUAUAUUCUGUAGCAAGGUUAACCGUAUAGGGGAGCCGUAGGGAAACCGAGUCUUAACCGGGCGUUAAGUUGCAGGGUAUAGACCCGAAACCCGGUGAUCUAGCCAUGGGCAGGUUGAAGGUUGGGUAACACUAACUGGAGGACCGAACCGACUAAUGUUGAAAAAUUAGCGGAUGACCUGUGGCUGGGGGUGAAAGGCCAAUCAAACCGGGAGAUAGCUGGUUCUCCCCGAAAGCUAUUUAGGUAGCGCCUCGUGAAUUCAUCUCCGGGGUAGAGCACUGUUUCGGCUAGGGGGCCAUCCCGGCUUACCAACCCGAUGCAAACUGCGAAUACCGGAGAAUGUUAUCACGGGAGACACACGGCGGGUGCUAACGUCCGUCGUGAAGAGGGAAACAACCCAGACCGCCAGCUAAGGUCCCAAAGUCAUGGUUAAGUGGGAAACGAUGUGGGAAGGCCCAGACAGCCAGGAUGUUGGCUUAGAAGCAGCCAUCAUUUAAAGAAAGCGUAAUAGCUCACUGGUCGAGUCGGCCUGCGCGGAAGAUGUAACGGGCUAAACCAUGCACCGAAGCUGCGGCAGCGACACUGUGUGUUGUUGGGUAGGGGAGCGUUCUGUAAGCCUGUGAAGGUGUGUCGUGAGGCAUGCUGGAGGUAUCAGAAGUGCGAAUGCUGACAUAAGUAACGAUAAAGCGGGUGAAAAGCCCGCUCGCCGGAAGACCAAGGGUUCCUGUCCAACGUUAAUCGGGCAGGGUGAGUCGACCCCUAAGGCGAGGCCGAAAGGCGUAGUCGAUGGGAAACAGGUUAAUAUUCCUGUACUUGGUGUUACUGCGAAGGGGGGACGGAGAAGGCUAUGUUGGCCGGGCGACGGUUGUCCCGGUUUAAGCGUGUAGGUGUGUGUUCCAGGUAAAUCCGGUUCACUUUAACACUGAGGCGUGAUGACGAGGCACUACGGUGCUGAAGCAACAAAUGCCCUGCUUCCAGGAAAAGCCUCUAAGCAUCAGGUAACAUCAAAUCGUACCCCAAACCGACACAGGUGGUCAGGUAGAGAAUACCAAGGCGCUUGAGAGAACUCGGGUGAAGGAACUAGGCAAAAUGGUGCCGUAACUUCGGGAGAAGGCACGCUGACACGUAGGUGAAGUGAUUUACUCAUGGAGCUGAAGUCAGUCGAAGAUACCAGCUGGCUGCAACUGUUUAUUAAAAACACAGCACUGUGCAAACACGAAAGUGGACGUAUACGGUGUGACGCCUGCCCGGUGCCGGAAGGUUAAUUGAUGGGGUCAGCGCAAGCGAAGCUCCUGAUCGAAGCCCCGGUAAACGGCGGCCGUAACUAUAACGGUCCUAAGGUAGCGAAAUUCCUUGUCGGGUAAGUUCCGACCUGCACGAAUGGCGUAAUGAUGGCCAGGCUGUCUCCACCCGAGACUCAGUGAAAUUGAACUCGCUGUGAAGAUGCAGUGUACCCGCGGCAAGACGGAAAGACCCCGUGAACCUUUACUAUAGCUUGACACUGAACAUUGAGCCUUGAUGUGUAGGAUAGGUGGGAGGCUUUGAAGCGUGGACGCCAGUCUGCGUGGAGCCGACCUUGAAAUACCACCCUUUAAUGUUUGAUGUUCUAACGUGGACCCGUAAUCCGGGUUGCGGACAGUGUCUGGUGGGUAGUUUGACUGGGGCGGUCUCCUCCUAAAGAGUAACGGAGGAGCACGAAGGUUGGCUAAUCCUGGUCGGACAUCAGGAGGUUAGUGCAAUGGCAUAAGCCAGCUUGACUGCGAGCGUGACGGCGCGAGCAGGUGCGAAAGCAGGUCAUAGUGAUCCGGUGGUUCUGAAUGGAAGGGCCAUCGCUCAACGGAUAAAAGGUACUCCGGGGAUAACAGGCUGAUACCGCCCAAGAGUUCAUAUCGACGGCGGUGUUUGGCACCUCGAUGUCGGCUCAUCACAUCCUGGGGCUGAAGUAGGUCCCAAGGGUAUGGCUGUUCGCCAUUUAAAGUGGUACGCGAGCUGGGUUUAGAACGUCGUGAGACAGUUCGGUCCCUAUCUGCCGUGGGCGCUGGAGAACUGAGGGGGGCUGCUCCUAGUACGAGAGGACCGGAGUGGACGCAUCACUGGUGUUCGGGUUGUCAUGCCAAUGGCACUGCCCGGUAGCUAAAUGCGGAAGAGAUAAGUGCUGAAAGCAUCUAAGCACGAAACUUGCCCCGAGAUGAGUUCUCCCUGAGACUUAGAGUCUCCUGAAGGAACGUUGAAGACGACGACGUUGAUAGGCCGGGUGUGUAAGCGCAGCGAUGCGUUGAGCUAACCGGUACUAAUGAACCGUGAGGCUUAACCUUACAACGCCGAAG
Molecule: ribosomal RNA, 2924 nt
Filed under: Salmonella enterica subsp. enterica serovar Newport
Lineage: Bacteria; Pseudomonadati; Pseudomonadota; Gammaproteobacteria; Enterobacterales; Enterobacteriaceae
Description: bacterial LSU rRNA
Rfam family: Bacterial large subunit ribosomal RNA
Source: RNAcentral